GUCGAGGGGUAACAGAGGUAGCUUGCUACUUGCUGACGACCGGCGCACGGGUGCGUAACGCGUAUAGAAUCUACCUUGUACUAGGGGAUAGCCUUUGGAAACGAAGAUUAAUACCCUAUAGUAAGUAUUUAUGGCAUCAUUUAUACUUUAAAGGUUACGGUACAAGAUGACUAUGCGUCCUAUUAGUUUGUUGGUGAGGUAACGGCUCACCAAGACUUCGAUAGGUAGGGGCCCUGAGAGGGGGAUCCCCCACACUGGUACUGAGACACGGACCAGACUCCUACGGGAGGCAGCAGUGAGGAAUAUUGGACAAUGGAGGCAACUCUGAUCCAGCCAUGCCGCGUGCAGGAUGACGGCCCUAUGGGUUGUAAACUGCUUUUAUGUAGGAAGAAACACUCUCACGUGUGAGAGCUUGACGGUACUACAAGAAUAAGGACCGGCUAACUCCGUGCCAGCAGCCGCGGUAAUACGGAGGGUCCAAGCGUUAUCCGGAAUCAUUGGGUUUAAAGGGUCCGUAGGCGGGCUAUUAAGUCAGAGGUGAAAGUUUGCAGCUCAACUGUAAAAUUGCCUUUGAAACUGGUAGUCUUGAAUUAUUAUG
Molecule: ribosomal RNA, 598 nt
Filed under: uncultured bacterium
Lineage: Bacteria
Description: bacterial SSU rRNA
Rfam family: Bacterial small subunit ribosomal RNA
Source: RNAcentral